CAGUAACGGCGAGUGAAGCGGCAACAGCUCAAAUUUGAAAUCUGGCUCCUUCGGGGUCCGAAUUGUAAUUUGUAGAGAGUGCUUCGGGCGAGACCUCGGUCUAAGUCCAUUGGAACAUGGUGUCAUAGAGGGUGAGAAUCCCGUAUGCGACCGUGGCUCGAGCCCAUGUGAAGCCUCUUCGACGAGUCGAGUUGUUUGGGAAUGCAGCUCAAAACGGGUGGUAAAUUUCAUCUAAAGCUAAAUACUGGCUGGAGACCGAUAGCGCACAAGUAGAGUGAUCGAAAGAUGAAAAGCACUUUGGAAAGAGAGUCAAACAGUACGUGAAAUUGUUGAAAGGGAAGCGCUUGCAACCAGACCUGCCCGUAGGCGAUCAGCCGCUGUUCUCAGCGGUGUACUCGCUCUGCGAUCAGGCCAGCAUCGGUUUCGGCGGUCGGAUAAAGGCCUUGGGAAUGUAGCUUCCCUUCGGGGGAGUCUUAUAGCCCUCAGUGUAAUGCGGCCAGCUGGGACCGAGGACCGCGCUUCGGCUAGGAUGCUGGCGUAAUGGUUGUAAGCGACCCGUCUUGAAACACGGACCAAGGAGUCUAACAUCUAUGCGAGUGUUUGGGUGUCAAACCCAUACGCGGAAUGAAAGUGAACGGAGGUGAGAACCCUUAAGGGCGCAUCAUCGACCGAUCCAGAUGUCUUCGGAUGGAUUUGAGUAUGAGCAUAGCUGUUGGGACCCGAAAGAUGGUGAACUAUGCCUGAAUAGGGUGAAGCCAGAGGAAACUCUGGUGGAGGCUCGCAGCGGUUCUGACGUGCAAAUCGAUCGUCAAAUUUGGGUAUAGGGGCGAAAGACUAAUC
This 840-nucleotide ribosomal RNA is filed under the name Xanthoparmelia mexicana. RNAcentral describes it as "eukaryotic LSU rRNA". It matches the Rfam family "Eukaryotic large subunit ribosomal RNA", at positions 81 to 936 of the family's 3401-position model. Lineage: Eukaryota; Fungi; Ascomycota; Lecanoromycetes; Lecanorales; Parmeliaceae. The record is from RNAcentral.